AGCUGGGUAGCUAAGUCGGGAAUGGAUAAACGCUGAAAGCAUCUAAGCGUGAAGCCAACCUCAAGAUGAGAUUUCCCAUAGCGUAAGCUAGUAAGAUCCCUUGAAGAACACAAGGUUGAUAGGUCGGGGGUGUAAGCAUGGUAACAUGUUCAGCUGACCGAUACUAAUAGAUCGAGGGCUUGACCAA
This 187-nucleotide ribosomal RNA is filed under the name Clostridium perfringens. Its description in RNAcentral is "partial 23S ribosomal RNA". It matches the Rfam family "Bacterial large subunit ribosomal RNA", at positions 2739 to 2925 of the family's 2925-position model. Lineage: Bacteria; Bacillati; Bacillota; Clostridia; Eubacteriales; Clostridiaceae. The record is from RNAcentral.